GACGAACCGUGCGAACGUUAUUCGGAAUCACUGGGCUUAAAGCGCGUGUAGGCGGAUGGGGACGUCGGCAUCUGAAAGCCCCCGGCUCAACCGGGGAAGGGGAUCCGAAACGCCCCGUCUGGAGGGACGUAGGGGGGCCUGGAACUUCCGGUGGAGCGGUGAAAUGCGUAGAUAUCUGGAGGAACACCGGUGGCGAAGGCGGCAUCCUGGACCGGUAUUGACGCUGAUGCGCGAAAGCCAGGGGAGCAAAGCGGG
Molecule: ribosomal RNA, 255 nt
Filed under: uncultured bacterium
Lineage: Bacteria
Description: partial 16S ribosomal RNA
Rfam family: Bacterial small subunit ribosomal RNA
Source: RNAcentral